AUUGAACGCUGGCGGCAUGCUUUACACAUGCCAGUCGAACGGCAGCACGGGAGUAAUCCUGGUGGCGAGUGGCGAACGGGUGAGUAAAGCAUCGGAACGUGCCCCGCCGUGGGGGAUAACGUAGCGAAAGCUAUGCUAAUACCGCAUAAGAUCUGUGUCUGAAAGCGGGGGACCGUAAGGCAUCGCGCGAUUGGAGCGGCCGAUGUCAGAUUAGUUAGUUGGUGAGGUAAAGGCUCACCAAGCCGACGAUCUGUAGCUGGUCUGAGAGGACGACCAGCCACACUGGAACUGAGACACGGCCCAGACUCCUACGGGAGGCAGCAGUGGGGAAUUUUGGACAAUGGGCGCAAGCCUGAUCCAGCAAUGCCGCGUGCAGGAUGAAGGCCUUCGGGUUGUAAACUGCUUUUGUACGGAGCGAAAAGGCUUCCACUGAUACGGGGGGCUCAUGACGGUACCGUAAGAAUAAGCACCGGCUAACUACGUG
This 484-nucleotide ribosomal RNA is filed under the name uncultured bacterium. RNAcentral describes it as "partial 16S ribosomal RNA". It matches the Rfam family "Bacterial small subunit ribosomal RNA", at positions 30 to 507 of the family's 1533-position model. The record is from RNAcentral.